UCCGAAUUGGUGUAGUGGCUAACAUUUGACGCUCUCAAGAUUGAAAGAUCUGAAGAACCGUCAAGCCCGGGGUUCGAUUCCCCGAUUCGGAG
Non-coding RNA from Annulohypoxylon maeteangense, 92 nucleotides. NCBI's taxonomy places the organism in Eukaryota, Fungi, Ascomycota, Sordariomycetes, Xylariales, Hypoxylaceae. The record is from the annotation of a RefSeq genome assembly.